RNAcentral lists this ribosomal RNA (460 nucleotides) under uncultured bacterium. RNAcentral's name for it is "bacterial SSU rRNA". It matches the Rfam family "Bacterial small subunit ribosomal RNA", at positions 28 to 486 of the family's 1533-position model. The record is from RNAcentral.
GACGAACGCUGGCGGCGUGCCUAACACAUGCAAGUCGAACGAAGCUUGACGAAUGAUUUCUUCGGAAUGAAAUCUGAUAUGACUGAGUGGCGGACGGGUGAGUAACGCGUGAGCAACCUGCCCUUCGGAACGGGAUAGUGUCUGGAAACGGACAGUAAUACCGUAUAACGUAUUUUUACCGCAUGAUAGAAAUACCAAAACUGAGGUGCCGAAGGAUGGGCUCGCGUCUGAUUAGAUAGUUGGUGGGGUAACGGCCUACCAAGUCGACGAUCAGUAGCCGGACUGAGAGGUUGAACGGCCACAUUGGGACUGAGACACGGCCCAGACUCCUACGGGAGGCAGCAGUGGGGAAUAUUGCACAAUGGGGGAAACCCUGAUGCAGCAACGCCGCGUGAAGGAAGACGGUUUUCGGAUUGUAAACUUCUGUUCUUAGUGAAGAAUAAUGACGGUAGCUAAGGAG